RNAcentral lists this unclassified non-coding RNA (375 nucleotides) under Microsporum canis. Its description in RNAcentral is "sequence contains 18S rRNA gene, ITS1, 5.8S rRNA gene, ITS2, 28S rRNA gene". Lineage: Eukaryota; Fungi; Ascomycota; Eurotiomycetes; Onygenales; Arthrodermataceae. The record is from RNAcentral.
CCGUUGCUGAACCUGCGGAAGGAUACUUAACGCGCAGAUGUCGAAGUCGGCCCCCGAAGCUCUUCCGUCUCCCCCCCGGGCCUCCCGGGGAGGUUGCGGGCGGCGAGGGGUGCCUCCGGCCGCACGCCCAUUCUUGUCUACUGACCCGGUUGCCUCGGCGGGCCGCGCCUGCUGUGCUACAGCGGCCGUUCGGGGGGGACGCCUGAGGGGGACUCUUGUUUCCUAGGCCACGCCCCGGGCAGCGCUCGCCGGAGGAUUACUCUGGAAAACACACUCUUGAAAGAACAUACCGUCUGAGCGAGCAACGCAAAUCAGUUAAAACUUUCAACAACGGAUCUCUUGGUUCCCGGCAUCGAUUUAUUUGAACGCAGACAA